RNAcentral lists this ribosomal RNA (402 nucleotides) under uncultured bacterium. RNAcentral describes it as "bacterial SSU rRNA". It matches the Rfam family "Bacterial small subunit ribosomal RNA", at positions 355 to 774 of the family's 1533-position model. The record is from RNAcentral.
UGGGGAAUCUUGCACAAUGGGGGCAACCCUGAUGCAGCGACGCCGCGUGAGCGAUGAAGCCCUUCGGGGCGUAAAGCUCUUUCGACCGGAACGAUAAUGACGGUACCGGGAGAAGAAGCUGCGGCUAACUACGUGCCAGCAGCCGCGGUAAUACGUAGGCAGCAAGCGUUGUUCGGAGUUACUGGACGUAAAGAGUGCGUAGGCGGUUUUCUAAGUUCGGUGUGAAAUCUCCCGGCUUAACUGGGAGGGUGCGCCGAAGACUGGGAAGCUGGAGUGUGGGAAAGGCAGGCGGAAUUCCUGGUGUAGCGGUGAAAGGCGUAGAUAUCAGGAGGAACACCCGCGGUGUAGACGGCUUGCUAGACCAUAACUGACGCUGAGGCACUAAAGCGUGGGUAGCAAACA